Long non-coding RNA from Nematolebias whitei (Rio pearlfish), 519 nucleotides. RefSeq lists it as uncharacterized. Lineage: Eukaryota; Metazoa; Chordata; Actinopteri; Cyprinodontiformes; Rivulidae. The record is from RefSeq and is a predicted model, not a curated record. The transcript has 6 exons.
AGGAGACUCUUGUAACCAAGGCUCUGAUGGCUCAGAGGUUUCCCACCUUGGGAAGCUGUGAAAUACAAACCAGAGGGGCAGCAGUAGUUCCACGUUCGUCAUGGAAGCUGUGUCUGGGGAUGAAAAUGAAGCAAGGUAUAAAAAGGAACAGAAAAAGAUAGAAAAGAAGACAACUUCCUCGCCUUUACAUUCUGGAAAGAGACGAAGACAAGAAAAAAAGCGUCCAGUUGAGUCUUUGGAUUAUUCAGACAUGGGAAAAGAUGUUCCUGCAAAUGUUGGAACGAGAAGAAGCAAAAGACAAAACUCUCAAACUCGACAGUGGUCUGGUAACGUUUCAGAGGCCGAUCGAGGAGCAUCAAGACGUAGCCUUAGAAGGAGAAAUAUUCACACCUCACCUGAGCCACAACAAAUCAACUCAAAGACUUCUAGCCACGUUGCUGCAAAGCGACCCUAUAAAAUGAAAAAACAUGCCAAACUGCUUCCUGGAGCAAAAGGAGAAAACACAAGUGUUUCAGCUGG